AUUGAACGCUGGCGGCAUGCCUUACACAUGCAAGUCGAACGGUAACAGGUCUUCGGAUGCUGCCGAGUGGCGCACGGGUGAGUAAUACAUCGGAACGUGCCCGAUCGUGGGGGAUAACGGAGCGAAAGCUUUGCUAAUACCGCAUACGAUCUACGGAUGAAAGCAGGGGACCGCAAGGCCUUGCGCGGACGGAGCGGCCGAUGGCAGAUUAGGUAGUUGGUGGGAUAAAAGCUUACCAAGCCGACGAUCUGUAGCUGGUCUGAGAGGACGACCAGCCACACUGGGACUGAGACACGGCCCAGACUCCUACGGGAGGCAGCAGUGGGGAAUUUUGGACAAUGGGCGAAAGCCUGAUCCAGCCAUGCCGCGUGCAGGAUGAAGGCCUUCGGGUUGUAAACUGCUUUUGUACGGAACGAAAAGACUCUUUCUAAUAAAGAGGGUCCAUGACGGUACCGGAAGAAUAAGUACCGGCUAACUACGUG
This 482-nucleotide ribosomal RNA is filed under the name uncultured bacterium. RNAcentral describes it as "partial 16S ribosomal RNA". It matches the Rfam family "Bacterial small subunit ribosomal RNA", at positions 30 to 507 of the family's 1533-position model. The record is from RNAcentral.